RNAcentral lists this ribosomal RNA (433 nucleotides) under uncultured bacterium. RNAcentral describes it as "partial 16S ribosomal RNA". It matches the Rfam family "Bacterial small subunit ribosomal RNA", at positions 29 to 507 of the family's 1533-position model. The record is from RNAcentral.
AACGAACGCUGGCGGCAUGCCUAACACAUGCAAGUCGAACGAGACCUUCGGGUCUAGUGGCGCACGGGUGCGUAACGCGUGGGAACCUGCCCUUAGGUUCGGAAUAACUCCCCGAAAGGGGUGCUAAUACCGGAUAAUGUCUUCGGACCAAAGAUUUAUCGCCUUUGGAUGGGCCCGCGUUGGAUUAGCUAGUUGGUAGGGUAAAAGCCUACCAAGGCGACGAUCCAUAGCUGGUCUGAGAGGAUGAUCAGCCACACUGGGACUGAGACACGGCCCAGACUCCUACGGGAGGCAGCAGUGGGGAAUAUUGGACAAUGGGCGAAAGGCUGAUCCAGCCAUGCCGCGUGAGUGAUGAAGGCCUUAGGGUUGUAAAGCUCUUUUAACCGGGAUGAUAAUGACAGUACCGGGAGAAUAAGCUCCGGCUAACUCCGUG